GAUGAAGAACGUAGCGAAAUGCGAUACGUAAUGUGAAUUGCAGAAUUCAGUGAAUCAUCGAGUCUUUGAACGCACAUUGCGCCCUCUGGUAUUCCGGAGGGCAUGCCUGUCCGAGCGUCAUUGCUGCCCUCAAGCACGGCUUGUGUGUUAGGCCCCGUCCUCCACUCGCGGGGGACGGGCCUGAAAGGCAGCGGCGGCACCGCGUCCGGUCCUCGAGCGUAUGGGGCUUUGUCACCCGCUCUGUAGGCCCGGCCGGCGCCUGCCGAUCAACCACACUUUUAUUCAGGUUGACCUCGGAUCAGGUAGGGAUACCCGCUGAACUUAAGCAUAUCAAUAAGCGGAGGA
This 345-nucleotide unclassified non-coding RNA is filed under the name soil metagenome. RNAcentral's name for it is "partial contains 5.8S ribosomal RNA, internal transcribed spacer 2, and large subunit ribosomal RNA". The stretch from base 1 to 120 matches the Rfam family "5.8S ribosomal RNA", at positions 35 to 154 of the family's 154-position model. The record is from RNAcentral.